UCGAUAACGAACGAGACCUCGGCCCUUAAAUAGCCCGGUCCGCGUUUGCGGGCCGCUGGCUUCUUAGGGGGACUAUCGGCUCAAGCCGAUGGAAGUGCGCGGCAAUAACAGGUCUGUGAUGCCCUUAGAUGUUCUGGGCCGCACGCGCGCUACACUGAUCAAGUCAACGAGUUUACAACCUUGGCCGGAAGGUCUGGGUAAUCUUUUGAAACUUGAUCGUGCUGGGGAUAGUCCAUUGCAAUUAUUGGACUUCAACGAGGAAUUCCUAGUAAGCGUGAGUCAUCAGCUCGCGUUGAUUACGUCCCUGCCCUUUGUACACACCGCCCGUCGCUAAUACCGAUUGAAUGGAUA
This 351-nucleotide ribosomal RNA is filed under the name Eukaryota sp. RNAcentral's name for it is "SSU rRNA". It matches the Rfam family "Eukaryotic small subunit ribosomal RNA", at positions 1325 to 1699 of the family's 1831-position model. The record is from RNAcentral.